Molecule: ribosomal RNA, 549 nt
Filed under: uncultured bacterium
Lineage: Bacteria
Description: bacterial SSU rRNA
Rfam family: Bacterial small subunit ribosomal RNA
Source: RNAcentral
UGGGGAAUAUUGGACAAUGGGCGAAAGCCUGAUCCAGCCAUGCCGCGUGUGUGAAGAAGGUCUUCGGAUUGUAAAGCACUUUAAGUUGGGAGGAAGGGCAGUAAGUUAAUACCUUGCUGUUUUGACGUUACCAACAGAAUAAGCACCGGCUAACUUCGUGCCAGCAGCCGCGGUAAUACGAAGGGUGCAAGCGUUAAUCGGAAUUACUGGGCGUAAAGCGCGCGUAGGUGGUUCAGCAAGUUGGAUGUGAAAUCCCCGGGCUCAACCUGGGAACUGCAUCCAAAACUACUGAGCUAGAGUACGGUAGAGGGUGGUGGAAUUUCCUGUGUAGCGGUGAAAUGCGUAGAUAUAGGAAGGAACACCAGUGGCGAAGGCGACCACCUGGACUGAUACUGACACCGAGGUGCGAAAGCGUGGGGAGCAAACAGGAUUAGAUACCCUGGUAGUCCACGCCGUAAACGAUGUCGACUAGCCGUUGGGAUCCUUGAGAUCUUAGUGGCGCAGCUAACGCGAUAAGUCGACCGCCUGGGGAGUACGGCCGCAAGGUUA